UACGUAGGGUGCGAGCGUUAAUCGGAAUUACUGGGCGUAAAGCGUGCGCAGGCGGUUUUGUAAGCCAGAUGUGAAAUCCCCGGGCUUAACCUGGGAACUGCAUUUGUGACUGCAUAGCUAGAGUACGGUAGAGGGGGAUGGAAUUCCGCGUGUAGCAGUGAAAUGCGUAGAGAUGCGGAGGAACACCGAUGGCGAAGGCAGCCCCCUGGGCUAGCACUGACGCUCAGGCACGAAAGCGUGGGGAGCAAACAGG
This 253-nucleotide ribosomal RNA is filed under the name uncultured bacterium. RNAcentral describes it as "partial 16S ribosomal RNA". It matches the Rfam family "Bacterial small subunit ribosomal RNA", at positions 524 to 776 of the family's 1533-position model. The record is from RNAcentral.